Molecule: long non-coding RNA, 313 nt
Organism: Saccostrea echinata
Lineage: Eukaryota; Metazoa; Mollusca; Bivalvia; Ostreida; Ostreidae
Exons: 3
Source: RefSeq, a predicted model, not a curated record
AAUUUGUAUUGGUCGUGGUUCUCCUGUUGUCCCUUGGUUGUAUACUGAGAGCAGAUGAAGCUAAAAAGGAGCCAUCACGAUGUCCCUGCAGCUGGUGGUGGAGAAGAUGUAGCUGUGAUAGGAGGGAGAGGGAUUUAGCUGAUAAGCCCAAUGAACAGGACAGGCCAAUGGACGAAAUAAUUGACUCUGAGACAGCUGAAUAGACCUUCCCCAAGUUUUUUUCGCAAACUAUACUUUUCAACUUUUUAGAGGAAAUUGUUGAAACAGAAUUUGUUCAGCUAUGUUUAAUGAUUAAACAAAUUUCUUUGCCAUA